GUUCCCAUUCCGAACACGGCAGUUAAGCCCCUCAGCGCCGAUGGUACUUGUCGGGAGACCGGCUGGGAGAGUAGGUCGUUGCCAGGA
This 87-nucleotide ribosomal RNA is filed under the name Bacillota bacterium. The record is from RNAcentral. Lineage: Bacteria; Bacillati; Bacillota.